Molecule: non-coding RNA, 24 nt
Filed under: Arabidopsis thaliana (thale cress)
Lineage: Eukaryota; Viridiplantae; Streptophyta; Magnoliopsida; Brassicales; Brassicaceae
Source: RNAcentral
CACUAUAGCAACCUUCUCCUCAGC